ACAAUGCAAGGAGGACCAAACCCGGCAAAAGGACCAGGGGCCUGUGACUAUGAGCCAAAGGGUCACCCUUGAACUUGAGCUUGGGACGCUGAGGAAAGGCAUUCCCAGACAGGGCAGUGAGAAAACACCCUUGGAUCCAGGACAGUGCUGUGGCCAGAAGAUCCUCCCUGGCUCCACCACAUUUAGGGCUUGCCUCUCCAGGGAUGCAGGAUCCAGGCUGGGUGUAAAUGUUUCCUGUGGUUCCACCCCGCCCUCCCUCGACGAGGAAGUUAGUGGUUUCUGUGAUGGAGGGGGCUCAGGGUGAGGAGCAAGUGCAAGUUCUGGGCAUGCGCCACAGAGGUCUGGUAGAACUGCCUGCUCAGGGCUCCUGUGCCUCAGAGGGCCAGACUUGUCAAGGCAGGCUGACUGCUGUGACCAGGAACGGGGCUGAGGAGCCAUAGGGAACAACACCCAGGUUCCUGGUUCCCCAGACCAGCUGCAGCAGCACAGCCUGGUUGGCCCUCAAGGCUCCUGCACAAGGAUAUUUGUAUUAGCUUGGCACAAGGGUAACCUGGACUCCAAUCCCUGUUUGCCCGAACCCCUACCCUGCAGGACUGCACUCAACAAGGCCACCUCUGAACACCUGGUACAAUGGCAUGAUGGCACAACCUCCUGCCCACACUUCCCCCUCCAACUCAGUGAAGUCAUCUUUCACAGCGUUCAGCAGAAACGGGCCUUUCUAUGACACAGGGAAUUCAGCAGGUCACCCGGUGGAAAGGACAGAUGUGCCAAAUCCAGCAUGCCCCAUGGCACUCCCACGCCUGAUCCCAGUGACACUGAACACUCAAGGAGCCUCCGACUGUGCCUGCCACGACUCUGGGGCAGCUCAGGGAGAAACAGCCUGGAAGACACACACACAGGACCCAGGUGUGUGUGGGUGGGGUGUCCUGAAGGCAGGUCCUGGAGGUGUGGCCUGAGAGGGACCCACAGGGGACUGGUUUGCAUCACCCUGGAGUGUGGACUGGGUGUGGGGCAUGAGGCACCUCUCCCCAAGAUGGGGAUGUGAAAGUGCCCAUUCUCCCAGGGAGGGCAGGGCAUCUGUGAACACUCGUGUGUGUGUGUGUGUGUGUGUGUGUGUGUGUGUGUGUGUUAGGGUCAAGACAACAUUCCAGGUUGCAUAUUUAGAGCAAAAACCUUCCUUGGCAUACCACCCUGAGCCUUGACUCUACACUGUGUUUAGGAACCUGGUUCCCCUGCUUUGUGCACAGAGCCCACUGGUCACCUCUGAGACAGGCGCGGAAGCUCGUGGAUACCUCUCCACCCUCCUGCCGUCUCUCCACAGCCCAAUACCCUCUGGUAGCCAACAGUUUCACACCCGCAUGCCGCCCAGCCCACGGCCCUCCCACUUAGGGCACAGCGUCCUGGUCCAGGCCCAUCUCACUCACCUUGGA
This is a long non-coding RNA of Ochotona curzoniae (black-lipped pika), 1430 nucleotides long. RefSeq lists it as uncharacterized. The transcript is spliced from 3 exons. The record is from RefSeq and is a predicted model, not a curated record. NCBI's taxonomy places the organism in Eukaryota, Metazoa, Chordata, Mammalia, Lagomorpha, Ochotonidae.